Molecule: ribosomal RNA, 469 nt
Filed under: Novosphingobium sp.
Lineage: Bacteria; Pseudomonadati; Pseudomonadota; Alphaproteobacteria; Sphingomonadales; Sphingomonadaceae
Description: bacterial SSU rRNA
Rfam family: Bacterial small subunit ribosomal RNA
Source: RNAcentral
GCAAUGCCGCGUGAGUGAUGAAGGCCUUCGGGUCGUAAAGCUCUUUUACCAGGGAUGAUAAUGACAGUACCUGGAGAAUAAGCUCCGGCUAACUCCGUGCCAGCAGCCGCGGUAAUACGGAGGGAGCUAGCGUUGUUCGGAAUUACUGGGCGUAAAGAGUACGUAGGCGGUUAUUCAAGUCAGAGGUGAAAGCCCGGGGCUCAACCCCGGAACUGCCUUUGAAACUAGAUAACUAGAGUCUUGGAGAGGUUAGUGGAAUUCCGAGUGUAGAGGUGAAAUUCGUAGAUAUUCGGAAGAACACCAGUGGCGAAGGCGACUAACUGGACAAGUACUGACGCUGAGGUACGAAAGCGUGGGGAGCAAACAGGAUUAGAUACCCUGGUAGUCCACGCCGUAAACGAUGAUAACUAGUUGUUCGGUCACUUGGUGACUGAGUGACGCAGCUAACGCAUUAAGUUAUCCGCCUGGG